CCUACGGGAGGCAGCAGUGAGGAAUAUUGGUCAAUGGCCGGAAGGCUGAACCAGCCAUGCCGCGUGAAGGUCAGUGCCCUAUGGGCGUUAAACUUCUUUUGUGCGGGAGCAAUAAUGGUCACGUGUGGCCAGACGAGAGUACCGUACGAAUAAGCAUCGGCUAACUCCGUGCCAGCAGCCGCGGUAAUACGGGGGAUGCAAGCGUUAUCCGGAUUUAUUGGGUUUAAAGGGUGCGUAGGCUGUGAGGUAAGUCAGCGGUGAAAUGCCCCCGCUCAACGGGGUGAAGUGCCAUUGAUACUGCCUUGCUGGAAUGCGGAUGCCGUGGGAGGAAUUUGUGGUGUAGCGGUGAAAUGCAUAGAUAUCACACAGAACACCGAUUGCGAAGGCGACUAUCUGGCUGUACAUUGACGCUGAGGCUCGAAAGCAUGGGGAUCAAACAGGAUUAGAUACCCGUGUAGUC
This 460-nucleotide ribosomal RNA is filed under the name uncultured bacterium. Its description in RNAcentral is "partial 16S ribosomal RNA". It matches the Rfam family "Bacterial small subunit ribosomal RNA", at positions 338 to 795 of the family's 1533-position model. The record is from RNAcentral.